GUGAACGCUGGCGGUAGGCCUCACACCUGCAAGUCGAACGGCAGCACAGUAAGAGCUUGCUCUUACGGGUGGCGAGUGGCGGACGGGUGAGGAAUACAUCGGAAUCUACUUUUUCGUGGGGGAUAACGUAGGGAAACUUACGCUAAUACCGCAUACGACCUACGGGUGAAAGCAGGGGAUCUUCGGACCUUGCGCGAUUGAAUGAGCCGAUGUCGGAUUAGCUCGUUGGCGGGGUAAAGGCCCACCAAGGCGACGAUCCGUAGCUGGUCUGAGAGGAUGAUCAGCCACACUGGAACUGAGACACGGUCCAGACUCCUAGGGGAGGCAGCAGUGAGGAAUAUUCGACAAUGGGCGCAAGCCUGAUCCAGCCAUACCGCGUGAGGCAGGAGAGCCUUCGGAUUGUGAAGCCCUUUUGUUGGGAAAGAAAAGCAGCAGGUUAAUACCCCGCUGUUCUGACGGUACCCAAAGAAUAAGCACCGGCUAACUUCGUG
This 491-nucleotide ribosomal RNA is filed under the name uncultured bacterium. RNAcentral describes it as "partial 16S ribosomal RNA". It matches the Rfam family "Bacterial small subunit ribosomal RNA", at positions 29 to 507 of the family's 1533-position model. The record is from RNAcentral.